Molecule: long non-coding RNA, 2885 nt
Filed under: Pan troglodytes (chimpanzee)
Lineage: Eukaryota; Metazoa; Chordata; Mammalia; Primates; Hominidae
Description: long non-coding RNA NONPTRT010873
Source: RNAcentral
AUUUUACUGAAAAAUUGAAACAUUAAUUUUUUCCCUUAUGAUUUGUACCAAAUUGUAUAAGAAAGAAGAAUGUCAGCCCGUAGACCCAACCCAGGAACUUGCUAUUUCCAUCUGAACUAACGGUUGUGUUCUUUCUUUUGAUUUACUUCUGCUUUUAUGCCAACUGCGAGGGAAUAAACAGUCUCAUCAGCCCAUCUGCAGCUGUGCCUUUGCCACCUUCUGCCCCCAAGGAGGCCUUUGUACAACUGUCACCCUCAGGAACCUAUGAAAACCAUUUUUCAUCCCAGACUUGGCCCCAGGUGGACGCACCUUUUCCCUGAUAUUUCACCUCAUGGAACUCCUCUCCCUCUGGUCCAGGGCAGGACCUUCGCACAGUCCAUUCUGCCACACAAGCACCUUUAUGAAGCCAGAAGGAAAAGCCAGGAUGCGCGUGAUGAGUAGGAGACUUCCAAGUGCCAGGCACUGAGCUGGCCACUUGGGAUACAGGAAUGACAAACCAGUUGCCCCUAAGGAGCUCACAGGCCAAUGAGGAGACAGACAGACCUGUCAGUAACCACCAGCAGCAGAACAUGAAGAGGGUUAUACAUGGGACUUGCGACCCAGGCUCUGGGAGUAUAGCGGAGAGCAAGAGUUAGGACACGGUGAGCAUUCAGGGAGGCUUCACAAAGAGUUAAGCUGGAGAUAAACUUCAAUUAUAAACACAUGUUAUCAAGAUGUGAAGAAGGAGAAUAAAUGGGACAUGGAGAGGGAAUUCUAGGCAAAGUAAAAGUCAUGUGCAUUGGUCUGUGGCUUUGCAGAAUGUGGGAAUUAAAAAGAAAUCAAGCAAUUCCAAAUGAUAAGGACAUGUCAUGUUAGAGAGUUGACUAUGACACCCACAUUCACCCCAUAGUAGGAGGCUGGAAAGGGAGGUGGAGGCCAGGAGGUGGGACUUUAAUUCAGAUUGGAUGGGCAGGAAUUUUUUGCACGGGUAAGGGGGAGCCAUUAAAGGACUUUGAAUGGGGGAAAGUCAUAUCAUAUUUACUACUGUGAAAGAUCCCUCUGGCUGUUGUAUGGAGAAAAGAUUGGGAGGAACACAAGUGAAUGCAGGGUAACAGAUGGUUACCACAGUGGCCCAGGAAAGGGUGACAAGAAGGAGGGUCAGGAGUGACUCCUAGACUUAGCGUUUACAUAGUAAGAGGCUGAGUUAUGGAUUCUGGAGUAGAACCACCUUUCAGGGGACAGAUCAGGAAUCUGGACUUUCACAUACCAGUUUAAGAUCCUUUUAAGAAAUCCAAAGGGGAGUAUCAAGUAGGUAGUUGAAAGCUCAGAGGAGAGGUCAAGGUGGGUUGUAUAAAUUUACAUUUGAUCAUUGAGAUCAAAACCAGGAGUACUGAUGAGGGUGUAGUUGAGAAGAGACCCUGGGUGUAAGCCGGUGGAAUUUCAAAGGCUCAAGAAUGGGUAUUAGAAUAAGUAGACCCAAGGGACUGAGAGUGAGAGGGUGGCAAGGGGGUGCAAGAUUCAGAAGACUGGGGUAUUCCGGAAGCAGUGGAAGAGUGUGUUUAAGAAGGAGAUUUGUCAGGUCCGGGCGCAGUGGCUCAGACCUGUAAUCCCAGCACUUUGGGAGGCCAAGGCGGGUGGGUCACCUCAGGUCAGGAGUUCGAGACCAGCCUGGCCAACAUGGUGAAACCCCUCUCUACUAAAAAUACAAAAAAUUAGCUGGGCAUGGUGGUGCAUGCCUGUAGUCCCAUAGUCCCAGCUACUGGGGAGGCUGAGGCAGGAGAAUCACUUGAACCCAGGAGGUGGAGUUUGCAGUGAGCCAAGAUCGCGCCACUGCACUCCAGCCUGGGCAACAGAGUAAGACUUCAUCUCAAGAAAAGAGAAGGAGAUUGGUCAAAUACAGCAAGUGUUGAGAGACCAAGUGGGAUGAGAACUGAAAAUACUGAUGCAGAUGUCGCUGUUAAUCUUCACAAAAGCAGUAGGAGUGUGUUGAAGAUAGAGAGGGAAAGAAAUGAAGUCUGUGAUGCAAAAAGAAUUUUGCAAAAUCUUUGCAAAUUUUGCUGAGGGAGAGGCAAUGGAAAGGGCAGUAGAUGGAGGGGAACUGGGGAUGAAGUUUGGGGUUUUGGCCUUCUUUAUUAGUGGAAGGAGCUUGUGUAGUUUUAAAUGUUGUUGGUAAGCCAAGCAUGGUGGCUCAUACCUGUAAUCCCAGCACUUUGGGAGGCGGAGACAGACAGAUCACUAGAGCUCAGGAGUUUGAGACCAGCCUGGGAAACAUGGUGAAAUCCUAUCUCUACAAAAAGUACAAAAAUUAGCCCGGCAUAGUGGCACACAUCUGUAGUCCCAGCUACUCAGGAGGCUGAGAUGGGAGGAUUUCUGGAGCCUGGGAUGGUCAAGGUUGCAGUGAACCAAGAUCAUGCCACUGCACUCCAGCGGGCAAUAAAGCCAGACUUUGUCUCAAAAAAUAAAAUUAAGUUAAAUUAAACUAAACUAAAAUAAAUAAAUUAAUGUUGAUGGGGGAGAAUAAAAUUAAAAGGCAGGGGCUGAAUGUUUAAGAGAUGGAAGAGAUGAAGUCUAAAGCAAUGAUUAAGGAAUGCCUUCUUCAUUUCUUUCACUGAAACAGUCCUUCCAAUUCAAGAGGAUCACCCUGUGCUCCCACAGAACUCUGUCCUUCCCCUAUAGGCUAUUUCCAUUCCCAGUUGACUGCCUAUUUACUCCCUAGGUUGUGAACUCAAGCCAGCUCCACGAGGGCACUGUUGAGUGCUGCGUUCACCAUUGUGUCACAAAUGCCUAACACAGUGAUUCUCAACGUUUUUGUCUCAGGCUGCUUACACCCUUAAAAUUAUUAAUGACCCCAAAGAGCCUUGUUUAUGUGGAUUUUAAAUAUUGACAUUUGUAGUAUUUGAUAUUAA